Pongo abelii (Sumatran orangutan) is the source of this 148-nucleotide unclassified non-coding RNA. It matches the Rfam family "Metazoan signal recognition particle RNA". Rfam says of the family: The signal recognition particle (SRP) is a universally conserved ribonucleoprotein. It is involved in the co-translational targeting of proteins to membranes. The record is from Ensembl. Lineage: Eukaryota; Metazoa; Chordata; Mammalia; Primates; Hominidae.
GCCGGGCAUGGUGGCCCAUGCUUGUAAUCCCAGCUACUUGGGAGGCUAAGACAGGAGAAUUGCUUGAACCCAGGAGGUGGAGGUUGCAGUGAACCAAGAUCAUGCCACUGCACUCUAGCCUGGGUGACAGAGCAAGACUCUGCCUCAA